CGACGAUUGAGAUAGCCCAGCACCGAAGCCCGUUGAUAUAAUAAUUUUGUAUUAAUGUGCAAUGUGGUGUUUGGGAGAACUCUUUACCAAUAUUUAUUUUAAUAUUGUUCAAGUCCUUCUUGAAUGGGGCCACACUUCCAUAGAGGGUGCCAGGCCCGUAGAACUUUUAUUUAUAUUAUUGGUGAGUUUCUCCUUAGAGUCGAGUUGCUUGAGAGUGCAGCUCUAAGUAGGUGGUAAACUCCAUCUAAGGCUAAAUAUAACCACGAGGCCGAUAGCUAACAAGUACCGUGAGGGAAAGUUGAAAAGAACUUUGAAGAGAGAGUUCAAAAGUACGUGAAACCGUUUAGAAGUAAACCUGUUAUACUCCUAUAAUUUUAUCAUAUGCAGAAAGAUUCAACAUGCUUUGCCGAAUACAACACUACAUUAAUUAUUUUUAUAUAUAUGUAUAUAUAAUUUAUUAUAUAUGUGUAAUUGUAUAUUUGAGACGAUGUAGUUUAUUAAUUUUAGAAUUUUUCUUUUCCAAAGAGAUUCUAUAAUUCAAUAAUAUUGCUUGCUCAAUUUUUGUAUUGUAUAGUUUGUAUCGGAGCUGUGCACUUCUUUCUGUAUAUUAGCGUUGCGACACGUUAUAUGUAUCGUUCUUCUUAUAUAUAUUUUUAUGUAUUGGUGUUAUGGCCAGCAAUGAUUAGACCGUGGAAUUUGAGUUGCUUUGCGCUCUUAUUACCAGGACUUUUGUAUCCUAACGAUCAAUGUAACGUUAUUUAUUACAUAAAGUAAUGUAUCUCUGUGUGUUCUUGUGAUGAGAUAUCAUUUAUUUUCUGUCAGCAACGUAUAUAAUAAUAAGAGUAAUAACAGGACCCGUCUUGAAACACGGACCAGGGAGUCUAGCAUAUUUGCAAGUCAUAGAGUUUAAAUAUAAAACUCGUAGACACAAUUAACGUAAAAGGUGUGUAGUGUACUCUCACUCUCACCAAGGGAAGAUGAGUAGUGGAUAUUUGAAAACUACUUCGCACUCCUAGGGCGUUCCAUAUAAGUUUUAUUAUGUAAUGUUUUAAAAUUUGGGGCGCACCAAGAGUAUAUACGCUAGAACCCGAAAGAUGGUGAACUAUGCCUGAUCAGGAUGAAGUCCAGGGAA
Molecule: ribosomal RNA, 1132 nt
Filed under: Paussus jeanneli
Lineage: Eukaryota; Metazoa; Arthropoda; Insecta; Coleoptera; Carabidae
Description: partial 28S ribosomal RNA
Rfam family: Eukaryotic large subunit ribosomal RNA
Source: RNAcentral